AUAACAGUAAAUACCAAAUAUUAAACAUUAUUGUGCAGCACGUAAUAUCGACAUUUUCUUAUCAUUCCUAACGUUAUACCAGUAUUAUGAACUGUAUGAUAUGGCCCAGCCCUACUUUUCAGUUUACUAAUUUUCAUCUGUUUGCAGUAAGACCAGCAAUAUUUCACCUGCAUUAAAUCACAAUCAUGUUUACAUUUCCCUUCUUGACUGGAACAUUUGGAUCAGUUUUAAAUCAUAUAACAAGCGAUUAAAUUACACAAGAUCAUGAGAAAAAUCAUGUUGACACCUCAUGACCCUGAUGAAGGCCACAAGCCGAAACGCGUUGGUCAAUUAUUAAAGUUGUUCAUCUUCCUUCAAGUGUUGCUGGAGUUGCUGCAUUGUGGCCUCUUUCACAGAAAGAAACCAAAACCUCAAACUUUUUAUCUCAUUAACUCUAGUGACCAAAUAUUUGGUGUAACAUUUGAAUUAGUUAUGACAUUGCAGAAGAAAACUGUUGUUUUCUUUCCAAAGCACAGGCUGAAUGAAUCUCAAAGCUUUCUUUUCCUGCAGUGUUUUUUUCUUUUUCUUUUAAGGUGACUUAUAUCAGAAAUAUUGAAACACACAAACAAAUAUGGCAGGAAAUUCUACCAGGUGCUGUUGAAUUCAUAUCAUGCUCUGCCUAAACCAGGACGGGGCAGGGAUGAAAUAUGCAGAAUAAAUCCUGAUCUGUGCACGUUGACAGUCCCGAUUGAAUCUCAGAUAUCUGAUGCUAAGAUGAGAGAAAAAUUAAGCAGCCACUUCCCUCCUAUUGCCACUGAACAUAAGCUAAAUUUAGCUCUCCUAUUUUUGGACCAUCACCCUCAAUAAAACACAUGAUGCCGUGCGGAGAUGAAAGAUCUGCUUCUGUCCUCAUUUAGGCCGCAGAUGCGCCCACACACUCAUACAUGAGCAUGAAUGAUCCAACCAGUGACUUCAUGCACCAGUUAGCUCAUCUUGCUGUCACAUGUUGCUAAUAGUAACAGCCCAGUUUCUCACAUUUGCCUUUCUUUCAUUUUUGAAUUACAGCAGGAUCUGCAGCACUGCACUUCAACACUGUUAACUGCUUUAACUGCCAAACAAGAUGUACUUUGAUAUACGUAAUCAGAUCAGAAACUGUAUAUGGCAGCCCACCCACUUCUCAACCAGUUCAAACAAAGAAAAAGCCACACUGAGAUCCUUUUAUGUUGAUAAUAUAAAUUCAAAAAGAAAAGGAGUGAAAAAACAAUCAAAUGUUUUCCACAAUAAUUAGAGCUGCAUAGAAAAUAAAUUAUCUCAUGGAGUAAUUGAUAUUCUGAUUUUCAGAUAUUAUAUCUGAUCCAGCAUCCAUAUGUUGUUGAUAAUCGUGAAAUGUUUUUGUUUUUUUUUUAAUCUAGUUAAAUAGCUAAAACAUCUGUUUUAAGUCUGCUCAAAUGAAUUAAAACUGACUAAUAAAUUCUAUUUUGCUAUAAACAGUAUGAGUGUACACAGUAAAUGCAUAAAGGCUAUGCAGUGUUUGCUGCUGAUGUUAGGAUUGCACCUAGACAUGACAGGCAAUGUAGCUUUUAUGCACAAUUGUAUAUUUAUUGCAAGUGAACUCUUUAGGAAUAUAUAUAAAAGUGGGAAUGAGUGAUAUUCCAGAUAAUUUGGGUAAUGAAUGCAUAUUAUAUUGAACCUUGAAUAAAUAGGCUACGGUAGCAGAAGACCACACUGGGUUUCACUGUUGUCAGCUAAGAACAGGAACAACAGCAAACUGAGGCUUCAAUUUGCACAGGCUGAGCAAAAUUAGACAACAGAAGACUGGAAAAACAUUGCCUGUUCUGAUGGGCCUCGAUUUCUGCCGUGACAUUCGGAUGGCAGGUACUGAAUAGGGUGUAGCAGUUAAGGUUGGUGGUGGUGUAAUGAUGUGGUCUAGGCACACUUUAGGCUCCUUAGCCAUUGUCCUUUCCAUUCUUUGCCAGUGUUUUUUUGAUCAAUUAAACUAAUUAAAUAGUGAUUAAAUGCCUCACAGAACUAUCUUAAUUGCUUGUUGUGAGUCAAGACAAAUUACGGUUGUCUUGACUCACAGCAGGACUAUAAUUUAAGACUGCUGUAGUAAAAGGAGGAUUGUGACUUCCAUCUGCACUAAUUUAAAUUCAGUGGUAUAGCUUUAUUCUGGGACACAUCUCUAAGAGCAGGAGCAAGACCCCCACCCCCCGAGGCUGGGGUGGAGAUAGCUUGUAAUGUAAAUUUUGCAGAUAUGCAGGAACUGUACACAAUCUGAAGCAGCUUAAAUAGCGCGCCCUAUAUGAGAUUUGCUAAUUGGAUGUGCGGAAGCUUAUCAGCUGAGGCGUCAGCUGAUGUGAUCUGGGAUUGAGAUCAGCUGAUCUGCCUGGAUUGUGACUGAGAUUGACCUCAUGAUCUGCCUGAAACAGUACUGUGCUCGGUUAAUAUAGAACAGAGAAAAGCAGGAAAUCCUCUCGUCUGCCAAACUGCAAUCAGUGACUGUUUCACAGUUUUUACUUGAUGAGAGAUUUCAGCAACGUUUCUGACACUUCCUGAAAUUGAUGGCCACAUCACGUUACCAUCUUUUAGAAAUGUUCUGCUUGUUUGGGUUGAGCUUGGCGCCUAUGCCAUCUGCAUGUCAGAAUCUAUUAAAUGCAUGCUGGGAACUGUCUCCAUCUCCUUUCUCUUCAGCCUGACCAUCCAUCUGUCCACCUAUUUGUAUCUGCAGUCUUUCCCCUCCUUCCUCUAAGAUCUCCCUCUUCCACUCGCCCUCUCAUUAGAGCUGCUGAAUUAUUUAACAUCAGACAGUGGGCUUGGCUGCUGAGCCAGAAGGAGAUGAAGAGGAGAGGAGGAAAAGCUGGAGAGACGGAGAAGCAUGGAGGUGUCCGAUACUGCGGGAAGUCGUGAGUCAGCAGGGAGAGAAAGGAGCAGUGGGAGGGAGGAGUGAAGGAGUUUAUAGAUAGCUUUAGGUGAUACGACAGGAGAGAGUGGCGUCAAAUGCCUCCCGGUGCGUUUGUGUCCGUGUUUGUGCAUGCGCGCAUCGAUUGAGCGGAGAAGGUCAUGGAGCUGAGAGGAGAUUAGCAAACUAGACUCGGAGUAGGGGGAGCGCGGCAGCAGAGCUAACGCCUCCUCUGAAUAGCGCAGAAACAGGAGGGCUCAAUACAAAAAGGACAAGAGGAGCUGUUUCAGUAUGGGGGAGAGCUAUAUGUACCAGCGACUCCCCUACACCAGAGGAGAGGGGGAGGGGGAGGAUGAAGAGGCGGGAGACAGGAGUGUCGGUGGACAAAUGAUGCAGUGUGAGGAGGGCACAGAGUGGCUGCUGGAGCUGCUGACAGAUGUGCAGCUGCAGCAGUACUUCCUGCGAAUCCGUGAUGAUCUCAACGUCACACGACUCUCACACUUUGACUACGUCAAGAAUGAAGACCUGGAGAAGAUCGGCAUGGGACGCCCAGGUCAGAGGAGGCUCUGGGAGGCAGUCAAGAGGAGACGAGCCCUUUAUAAAAGAAAAUCCUGGAUGAGCAAGGUGUUUCCAGUGAAACGACCGGACGCUGACACACAGCAGCCCCUCGGGGCAACGUCUGCCGCGGCCCCGGCCAGUAGUGAGUCGGGGGCCGCGCUCACCUGCCUGAUUAGAGAGUCGGAGCUUCAGCUGUUUGAGCGGCUUGGAGACGGGACAUUCGGGGUGGUGCGGCGAGGAGAGUGGACUGCACCCAACGGCAGAGUGUUGUCAGUGGCAGUAAAAUGCCUGAAAUCAAAUGUACUGGACUCAGACGGUCUGGAUGAUUUCAUCAGAGAGGUGAAUGCCAUGCAUUCACUGAGCCACCAAAACCUCAUCCGCCUGUAUGGCAUCGUCCUCACACAGCCUAUGAAGAUGGUGACUGAGCUGGCUCCUCUGGGCUCCCUGUUGGAUCGGCUCAGAAAGCGGCAGGGUCACAUCCUCAUCUCCUCGCUGUGUAACUAUGGCGUGCAGGUGGCCUGUGGGAUGGCUUACCUGGAGCAGAAGCGUUUCCUCCACAGGGACCUCGCAGCCCGUAAUGUGCUGCUGUCCACCAAUGAAACUGUGAAGAUCGGAGACUUUGGCCUAAUGAGGGCACUGCCUAAACACACCGACCAAUACGUCAUGGAGGAAGGCCACAAAAUCCCUUUCCCAUGGUGUGCUCCAGAGUCUCUGAAGUCUCGCACUUUCUCUCACGCAUCUGACACCUGGAUGUUUGGGGUCACCCUUUGGGAGAUGUUCACCCACGGACAGGAGCCGUGGCUGGGUCUGAAUGGGAGCCAGAUCCUUCACAAGGUGGACGUGGAAGCUGAGAGGCUGUGUAAACCAGACGAUUGUCCUCAGGAUAUCUACAAUGUGAUGCUGCAGUGCUGGAGCCCCAAACCUGAAGACAGACCAACUUUCAUUGCCCUCAGAGACUUCCUGCUCGAGACCAUGCCCACAGAUAUGAGAGCCCUGCAGGACUUUGAGGAGGAAGACAAGCUCCAGAUUACAAUGAAUGAUGUUAUCACCAUUAUUGAAGGAAGGGCAGAGCACUACUGGUGGCGAGGUCAGAACAGGCGCACACUGCGUGUCGGUCAGUUUCCCCGUCAUGUAGUGACGUCAGUCGCCGGUCUUUCCGCCCAGGACAUCAGCCGGCCACUUAAACACUCUUUUAUACACACUGGACAUGGAGACACAGACCCCCAGAGGAGCUGGGGACACGCAGACCGCAUAGACAGCCUGUACUUGGGGAACCCCAUGGACCCUCCUGAUGUCCUGGGAAUGGAUUCAGGCAUUGCGAGACCGACCAAACUUCCCAACCGUGCCAAGAAGCUACCUCCCCCUCGUCCACCCCAACCUGCCGUUCUGCUCAAGAAGCCGUUCUACGACUCUGUGAUGGACGAUUACGAUGACGAGGAAGACGCCAGCGCGUCGUCUGGGUUGAAGAAGCUGGGAGCAUCCCUAGGUCUGAAGCUUCGGCCGUGGGAGGGGACAGGCGUGCGUUCAGCCAAGAGCGAGGUGUCGCUUAUUGACUUCACCGAUGACAGUUUCAGCUCUACCACACCUUCUCCGCUCACUGAGUCUCGGCAGCUGGAUGAGGACACCCUAAAGGACACUCCCUCCAUUCUGGACUGGCCUCUCCCCCAGCCAGCGUACGAUGAAGUUACUGCAGAGGCUGAGGAUCAAUCAGAGGACCAGGAAGUGCGGUCCAUAUACAAAGGGUUGACUGAAGAAGCUUCUUCAUCCGCUGGUGGUGGCUUGACAGGAAGGAGCGAAUCCCAGUCAGCUGACCUCUUCCAGGAGCUACAGAGGGAGGUGAUGGUGAAGCUGCAGGUUCCAAUGGCAACAGGCCGCUCCCUCCCCUCCUCCCCACUUCCCAUGCCUCUGGCUCCUUUGGGCCAGCACCGACAGAUCCAUCUUCCCCCUCCAUCUCCCUCGUCUGCCUCCUCCUUUGCCUCCUGCUUUGAGGACAGGCCUGUGCUGCCUCCUCGCAGUCCCGUCCCUCCUCUGCGUCCCUCCAAACACAACCUCUCCGCCCGUGCCAUAAACCCAGAAGCAUGCACCAGCUCCAUUUCACUGGGCAACGAAGAUGACACACCCCCUCAGAUCCCACCCAGAGACCACGCCUUUUCUCAGCCAGGCUCCCGCUCCUCGUCACCUGUAGCAUUGCCACCUCCUCCUCUCGCCGUCUCGCCCCGUCGGGCAUCGGGACUGCUGGGUCCACUCCUGUCCUCCAACUCUCCAUCGUCGUCUUCCUCUUUGCCUCAAGCUUCAUCCCAUUCCUCACGCUUAGGACUUCCUGGCUCAUCGUACUCCUCCACGUCCUUACUGGAUCCACUCGCCUUUCGUGAGGGGCGUGGCCUUUCCUCACUGAUUGACAGUUCGCAGAGCUCUGCCCCCGUCCCACUGCCGGAGAGACCAGCUUUCCUGGAGAGAUACGGAGCAGCCAACAUGGCGGCAGUCAAACCUAUGAUGCAGCAGCACCCUAGUGGAGCCAAACCGAACACCUCCUACAACAACAAUAACGGCCGAGCUGCAGCUCCCAGCAUUCAACGGGAACAGAGCAUCACACAGGUCCAAGGAGCUGUGCACGGUGUCACGAUAGAGGAGUGUCAGGCUGCUCUGCAGAGCCACGAGUGGAGCAUCCCUCAGGCCAUAAACCAUUUAAAGGUGGAGCAGCUGUUUCGGCUGGGGCUGCGUUCAAGAGCCGAGUGCGAGGAGCUGCUGCAGCAUCACCAGUGGGACCUGGAACAUGCCAGCACGGUCAUGCUGGACACAUACGGACCACAUCGCAACAGGGGGCAGUGUCAAAAGUAUGUGGAACCGCUGAAUGUGGAAGAUUUUUGGAGCCAGAGUUGACUACACUGCAAAAAUUUAAAAAAAGGAAAACAUAACAGCACAAACGUGGUCAAGAGGAGGUCAGCAAGUCAUAUUCUGCUGUGGUGACAGCUAACAGAAAACCAGCAGCCUCGUAAAAAUCCAUCUGUCAUUCAUGCAUCCCCAAUAAAAAUGUGAGCAGGAAGUGAGAGCAGGAGGACAAAUUGAGCGGCAGUCACCUUCUGACAAGCUCCCGAGCUCAUCUGGAUCAGCGCGCUGACACCGAGUCGGCAGGAUGACUCAUUGCUCCAAAGACCAGAGAUGCUUUUUAAUGACCAUUAAAAGGCGUCUCUGAAGCAGCAUGUGUGAAUACCUGCUGCUACCUGUGUCACUCACAUGCAUGCUCACUAUAACCUAAAGGAGCAGCUGUUACAUGAUUCACAAUAUUUACUUGAACAGUUGUUAUUUAUCUUUUUUUUGGUUGUUCUUUUUUUUUAUCAUUGCAUUAAUCCAGAGUUUGUUUCAGCUGGUAGCUGCUGCAGACGUUUUCUGGUUGUGAGGUUGUUGUAGAGGCCUGUGUGUGUGUGUCUGCGUGCGUGUGUGUGCAUAAGCUUACUGUAAUGUCAAAUGGCUUUUUGCUGUCAAAAAGAAUCAGGGAGGUAUGAGCUGGCGUAUAGUUGCACUUUUAGGAAAAAUAUACAAUUAAUGUUGUAUAAAACAUUUUACCGAGCAUGUCAACAAAGAUGCUAACUGCUGGUCAGAAGAACAAUCUAUCAGUGAAGUGAAAAUGUUGAUAUGACUGAAGGCAUAUCAGAUAUUAUUAUUAUUACUGUAUUUUUGUGUCUUAAAGGGUCCACGUGGAGUUUUCGUGUAAAAAGGCAUUCAAAAGUCUUGAAACCUGCAUUCUUCACAUCCCAGCAUGUCGUCGUCUUUCCUGCUGUCGCUGGCAAAUUGCAAUGUGAAUCGUAAAAACUGCUUCAUAGUGCUUUGAGAGUUCAAGAACUCCACAGGUUGCCUUUAAGCAAAACAUUUCUGGCUUUACAACAGCAGGAAUUCUGAGUGAUGUCUUUAGUUUUUAUUAUAGGAAUAUUCCUACCUUUUCCUCGUGGAUACAGGGUAUUAGUCAAAUCUCUGCAAAUUAGAUAUCUACUGCUACUUUAAACUCAUGGUUAGUAUUUCUUACUGUGAUUCUGCUGUAUGAUAAUCAUCAUGCUGAAGAACCUGUCACGCACUUGAUUUAGUGGGCUACUGCUACGUGCUGUCGAUGCCAAAUUUCAUAAUGCGUGUGUGCAGAUAAUAAAAUUUUAACAGCUACAUGGAAAAGUUUCUUUUUUUUACAAAAAAACAAACAACAAAACUGGAAAAUUAAACUUCAGACAGGUGGUAGCAGCUUGGUGAAUAUGUUUAUAGCAGUCAUAACUCAGUAUGUGUGAAGCAUUCAGUUAAGUUCAACUAUGAAAUCUGUUUAAUGUGACACUGACUAUAAUGCAAAUAUGGCCUUCGUUGUUUUAUAAUAAACUGUAAUCUCAUUUCUGAAA
Molecule: RNA transcript, 7812 nt
Organism: Haplochromis burtoni (Burton's mouthbrooder)
Lineage: Eukaryota; Metazoa; Chordata; Actinopteri; Cichliformes; Cichlidae
Gene: tnk2a
Gene name: tyrosine kinase, non-receptor, 2a
Exons: 22
Source: RefSeq, a predicted model, not a curated record